AUUGGUCAAUAGCCUAACGGCUGAACCAGCAAUUUGAAGGAAUAUAGGUUCAAGUAAGUAAAAAGAACCCUGUUCAUUAUAAGAUAAUGAUAAUGACAAUUUUUUAUAACUAGCUCUUGACCAAAUCACGUGCCAGCAGUCGCGGUAAGACGUGAAAGACAAGUGUUAUUCAUCUGAAUAGGUUUAAAGGGUACCUAGACGGUAAAUCUUGCCUUUUUUUUAGGAACAGAUUUACUAGAGUUUUAUGUGAGAAGGGGAGAAUUAGAGGUGGAGAGAUGAAAUUCUGUGAUACCUUUAGGACUGGUAAUGGCGUAGGCAACCUUCUAUGUAAAAACUGACGUUGAAAGGACGAA
Molecule: ribosomal RNA, 353 nt
Filed under: Scutellinia scutellata
Lineage: Eukaryota; Fungi; Ascomycota; Pezizomycetes; Pezizales; Pyronemataceae
Description: partial 12S small subunit ribosomal RNA
Rfam family: Bacterial small subunit ribosomal RNA
Source: RNAcentral